Molecule: ribosomal RNA, 440 nt
Filed under: uncultured bacterium
Lineage: Bacteria
Description: partial 16S ribosomal RNA
Rfam family: Bacterial small subunit ribosomal RNA
Source: RNAcentral
CCUACGGGAGACAGCAGUGGGGGAUAUUGCACAAUGGGGGGAACCCUGAUGCAGCGACGCCGCGUGGGUGAAGAAGCGCCUCGGCGCGUAAAGCCCUGUCAGCAGGGAAGAAAAUGACGGUACCUGAAGAAUAAGCCCCGGCUAACUACGUGCCAGCAGCCGCGGUCAUACGUAGGGGGCAAGCGUUAGCCGGAUUUACUGGGUGUAACGGGGUCGCGGACGGUGAUGCAAGCCAGGAGUGAAAGCCCGGGGCCCAACCCCGGGACUGCUCUUGGAACUGCGUGGCUGGAGUGCAGGAGAGGCAGGCGGAAUUCCUGGUGUAGCGGUGAAAUGCGUAGAUAGCAGGAGGAACACCGGUGGCGAAGGCGGCCUGCUGGACUGCAACUGACGUUGAGGCCCGAAAGCGUGGGGAGCAAACAGGAUUAGAUACCCCUGUAGUC